Molecule: long non-coding RNA, 273 nt
Filed under: Solanum tuberosum (potato)
Lineage: Eukaryota; Viridiplantae; Streptophyta; Magnoliopsida; Solanales; Solanaceae
Description: long non-coding RNA (STUB_LNC007245)
Source: RNAcentral
CUAUGUAUAAGACUUUUUCCUUUUUAGUUAUGUUUUGACUAUGAGGGUGAGCCCGGUAGUUUGUCUUGGCCCCCGCUAAGUACUCAUGUUUAGAGGUGGUGUUGGACAAGUUGUGUAUUAUGCUUGAGCUUGACUCAUCUAUGGUAUUUUUGUAUCAUUCUUAUUUUUGUUUCUCUUGUUCCCUUAGUCCCGAUUUCCCCCUUGAUUAUGCUUAUCGCUUAUGGUCAUUUUUUUUGCUUCCGCGACCAAGGAUGUGUAAUGAUACGCUAUGAG